GUGCUCACCUGAAAGGGUAUUUCCAAGAUCAAGAAGGGCCAUGAGCUAAGGCAACUGACUCCAUUGCACAUGGGAGAAGAGUCUCAAUCAACUGCCCAUGUGGGAUAGUGGAUGUCGUAAGUUGUGGCAGUGGGGGAACGCGUACGCGUGGCCCCUG
RNAcentral lists this small nuclear RNA (157 nucleotides) under Amborella trichopoda. RNAcentral describes it as "snRNA U1". It matches the Rfam family "U1 spliceosomal RNA". From Rfam's summary of the family: U1 is a small nuclear RNA (snRNA) component of the spliceosome (involved in pre-mRNA splicing). Its 5' end forms complementary base pairs with the 5' splice junction, thus defining the 5' donor site of an intron. Lineage: Eukaryota; Viridiplantae; Streptophyta; Magnoliopsida; Amborellales; Amborellaceae. The record is from RNAcentral.